CUCCUUGCCAACUUGGAAUAAUGACAAAUGGCUCCAUCCAUCCGGACGUUCAUGUAUGAAGCCACAGGGAUGAUGUGCAGCAGAAACACAAUGCAGAAAUCAACCCUCAGAAUGCAAUCAAUGUUUGGGAAGAUCUCACAGGAGCCUUUGGGGCUGCUUUUGAGUUCCACCUCUGGGAAGAGCACCUGGAUCCUUCAAAAGAAUGAGGCUGAUUUCUUGCAGCCCUAUCGAACCGACACAAAGAACGUGGUAGAAAGGAACCUGUGGCCUCCUGCUCACCUGGCCAAUGCCACUGAUGUGGGCUGGGCUGUGUGCCCUGCUGGGUCCUGCGCCUCUGUCCCUAGACAUGCAGGUUUGGUUCGUUCCAGGAGGAGUUUGUCAGAACUGAAGACACCCAGCUCCACAUGUGCUUUUCCUGCAGCAGAUGGGAGCCGGGAGCAUCUCCAGGUGAGUUUGCUGUCUCCUUGCUCACUCCUCAAGCUUUCUCAGGCCCCAGUACAGCUCUGUUCAUGCGGCUCCAUCAGCACGGACAGACCCAGCCGUCUUCUUCUCUUGUUGAGCUCACAGUACACUGCCUGCCCUGGACACCAACCGUUCCCGAGGGGCUGAGCAGGACCUGGACUACUGUGGACUCCUUUUCUUCCUGCCAUCACUUGAGCCCCACUUUCAGCUCACAGAAUGUGCCAGCACCCAUGGCUGUGAGCUGCAGACCCCUGGGGCGAGCAGUGUGCACCUCCUUGCAGGACACAAACCUGCAGCCCUGGGGACAUCCAGCAUCGUAAUUCCCGAGGUCUCACUUCUAUACUGGGAUUUGGGACAAAGAUGCCCAACGACAAAACAAUGCCAUCCUCUCCUAUGAGACCAGGAGGGGACUUUUAAACCCCGAUGACCACAGUUUCCUUCUGGCACAACUCUGGAACAAACAGCCGCAGCACAGCCCCAACCAUCUGAGCUCCGGCGCUUCCUACGCUGAGCGUGCACCGACGCUGACUUUCCUUUGCAGCGGAGCACCGCGCACGGCGCGCGCAGCCCCAUCUCCAUGCGGUGCCCCCAACCUUCAGAGCCGCCGCUGUAGGGUCGUGCCCCGGCCCUCGGCACCGCGGUGCCCCAUGUGCCCACCUUCAAUGGCAGGCGGAGGAAUCGCUUCGCCUUGAUCAGGAGGGAGAAGAAUAACGAGCGGCAGGCGGUGGCCGGUGGGGUGCGGAUGAAAGGCGGCCGGCUCAAUUCUUCCCACACCCAGGGCGAUCUGCCCCCGCUUUUUUCCUGCCAUAAUUGCCUGCCACGCCGCAGAUGACUGUCGCACUCCACCAAAGCCCGGAGCACGGCGAGGCCAGGACUCGGGGCUCUCUGUCAAUGAGCGGGGAGGCAGGGAGGAUGCUUUGAUCCCGCUCUUCUUCCUCUGCCGCGCUCAAGAAUUACUACCAGGCUGCUGUUAGCGUUGCUUCGGCUCCAGCUUCCACUUGCUCUGUGCGGGAUCAACUGAGGCUCUGCCAUUCUGAGAGGUCCCGGGGCAGCGCAGCACCUGGGGCUGGUGAUGCACCAUUGAAUCACGGAACCAUGCAGCAUCCUGAGUUGGAUGGGAUCCAUAGGGAUCACUGAGUGCAACUCC
Molecule: long non-coding RNA, 1609 nt
Organism: Phasianus colchicus (ring-necked pheasant)
Lineage: Eukaryota; Metazoa; Chordata; Aves; Galliformes; Phasianidae
Source: Ensembl